GAGUUUGAUCCUGGCUCAGAUUGAACGCUGGCGGCAGGCCUAACACAUGCAAGUCGAGCGGUAGAGAGAAGCUUGCUUCUCUUGAGAGCGGCGGACGGGUGAGUAAUGCCUAGGAAUCUGCCUGGUAGUGGGGGAUAACGCUCGGAAACGGACGCUAAUACCGCAUACGUCCUACGGGAGAAAGCAGGGGACCUUCGGGCCUUGCGCUAUCAGAUGAGCCUAGGUCGGAUUAGCUAGUUGGUGAGGUAAUGGCUCACCAAGGCGACGAUCCGUAACUGGUCUGAGAGGAUGAUCAGUCACACUGGAACUGAGACACGGUCCAGACUCCUACGGGAGGCAGCAGUGGGGAAUAUUGGACAAUGGGCGAAAGCCUGAUCCAGCCAUGCCGCGUGUGUGAAGAAGGUCUUCGGGAUUGUAAAGCACUUUAAGUUGGGAGGAAGGGCAGUAAAAUUAAUACUUUAGCUGUUUUGACGUUACCGACAGAUAAGCACGGCUAACUCUGUGCCAGCA
Molecule: ribosomal RNA, 510 nt
Filed under: uncultured bacterium
Lineage: Bacteria
Description: bacterial SSU rRNA
Rfam family: Bacterial small subunit ribosomal RNA
Source: RNAcentral